Molecule: long non-coding RNA, 247 nt
Filed under: Solanum tuberosum (potato)
Lineage: Eukaryota; Viridiplantae; Streptophyta; Magnoliopsida; Solanales; Solanaceae
Description: long non-coding RNA (STUB_LNC007560)
Source: RNAcentral
AAAUAAUUUUGUUGAUCGGAUUUAACAUUAACAGGGAAGAGGGAGAUGUGGCGUGGCUUCAAAGACAUUGUCAAGCAGCAUCUAAAACACAAAAAUUGAUCAGAUCUGAGCACUUUUAGAUGAGUAUGAUGACUCUAUUAAUGGAGAAAAGAGAAAAAGGAGAGCGGCAUCGUGGUCGGCCAUGGCCAUUCUGAAGCUAACCAUCGUCGCCGGAGCUCGAAGUAGACAGUUGGAGAGAAUAAAAGAC